This 449-nucleotide ribosomal RNA is filed under the name uncultured bacterium. Its description in RNAcentral is "bacterial SSU rRNA". It matches the Rfam family "Bacterial small subunit ribosomal RNA", at positions 355 to 796 of the family's 1533-position model. The record is from RNAcentral.
UGGGGAAUUUUGCGCAAUGGGCGAAAGCCUGACGCAGCAACGCCGCGUGGAGGAUGAAGGUCUUUGGAUUGUAAACUCCUGUCAGCAGGGAAAAAGCAACUCGGCCUCAUACGCCGGGGAGUUGAUUGUACCUGCAGAGGAAGCCCCGGCUAACUCUGUGCCAGCAGCCGCGGUAAUACAGAGGGGGCAAGCGUUAUUCGGAAUUAUUGGGCGUAAAGGGCGCGUAGGCGGCUUCGCAAGUGGAAGGUGAAAUCCCUCGGCUUAACCGAGGAACUGCCCUCCAAACUGCGUUGCUUGAGGCCGGGAGAGGUGAGUGGAAUUCCCAGUGUAGCGGUGAAAUGCGUAGAUAUUGGGAGGAACACCAGUGGCGAAGGCGGCUCACUGGACCGGUUCUGACGCUGAGGCGCGAAAGCGUGGGGAGCAAACGGGAUUAGAUACCCCUGUAGUCC